RNAcentral lists this transfer RNA (74 nucleotides) under Candidatus Omnitrophota bacterium. RNAcentral describes it as "tRNA-Gly". It matches the Rfam family "tRNA". From Rfam's summary of the family: Transfer RNA (tRNA) molecules are approximately 80 nucleotides in length. Their secondary structure includes four short double-helical elements and three loops (D, anti-codon, and T loops). Lineage: Bacteria; Pseudomonadati; Candidatus Omnitrophota. RNAcentral also lists the same sequence under 1 other name. The record is from RNAcentral.
GCGGCUAUAACACAAUGGUAGUGUGCUAGCUUCCCAAGCUAGUUACGCGGGUUCGAUUCCCGCUAGCCGCUCCA